RNAcentral lists this long non-coding RNA (1231 nucleotides) under Homo sapiens (human). RNAcentral's name for it is "HSALNT0063386". Lineage: Eukaryota; Metazoa; Chordata; Mammalia; Primates; Hominidae. The record is from RNAcentral.
GCCCCUUGUACAAUGAAGAAUGGUAUAAUGCUCUUGGCUAUAUUGGCACAAACCUGAUGAAUAUGGGAUCAAUGCCAUCAAGCUACAGAUGGAACCCCAAAUGACCUCAACUAACAACUUCUACCGAGGACCCCUGGACUGACCCGCUGACCCUUUGACUGGCCUAAAGAGUUCUCCUCUGGAGGACACUACAACUGCAGGGCCCCUUCUUCACCCCUAUCCAGCAGGAAGUAGCUAGCGCAGACAUCGCCCAAUUCCCAACAGCAGUUGGGGUGUCCUGUUUAGAGUGGGGCUUCUGGGUCAGGUGGGGACUUGGAUAACUUUUGUGUCUAGCUAAAGGAUAAUAAAUGCACCAAUCAGCACUCUGUAAAAUGGACCAAUCAGCACUCUGCAAAAUAGACCCAUCAGCAGGAUGUGGGCAGGGCCAAAUAAGGGAAUACAAGCUGGCCACCCGAGCCAGCAGCGACAACCCGCUCGGGUCCCCUUCCACACUGUGGAAGCUUUGUUCUUUUACUUUUCACAAUAAAUCUUGCUGCUGCUCACUCUUUGGGUCCACACACCUUUAAGAGCUGUAACACUCACUGCAAAGGUCUGCGGCUUCACUCCUGAAGUCAGCAAGACCAGGAAGGAAGAAACUCCGGACACAUUUGAACAUCUGAAGGAGCAAACUCCUGACACACCAUCUUUAAGAACUAUAACACUCCCCGCGAGGGUCCACAGCUUCAUUCUUGAAGUCAGCGAGACCAAGAACCCACCAGAAGAAACCAAUUCUGGACACAACAUGAUAUUAUUUAAGUGUCCCAAAUGCGUAACCUAAAUACAGCCAUGAGGAAACGUCAAAAGCACACAAAUUAAAGAACAGUCUUCUAAAUAACUACCUCAUAUUUUUUCAAAAAUAUCAAAAGUAGAAUAGCAAAAGACUUACAAACAGAUCUAAACUAAAGGAAACUGAAGAGACAAUGCAACCAAAUGCAAUGUUUGGUCCCAAAUUAGAUCUUGGCAAGAUAAAUAUAUCUAUAAAGUACAUUAUUAGGAAACUGUAUGAUCUUAGACAGUAGUAUUGUAUCUUUGAAUUUUAUAAUUUUCAUAAUUGUAAUCUGGCUGAGAUUCUUUUUUUAGGAAAUACUGAAUAAUUUGGAGUAUAGAAAUGAUAUUUGUGUUUUAUUUUCAAAAUGUUUAUAAUAUAUUGUAGAGAGUGAAAAAUCAAAUAUUACAAAUUAUUAAAAAUUGG